This 117-nucleotide small nucleolar RNA is filed under the name Canis lupus familiaris (dog). RNAcentral's name for it is "Small nucleolar RNA U13 (multiple genes)". It matches the Rfam family "Small nucleolar RNA U13". RNAcentral also lists the same sequence under 1 other name. The record is from Rfam by way of RNAcentral. Lineage: Eukaryota; Metazoa; Chordata; Mammalia; Carnivora; Canidae.
AUCCUUUGUCAUUCUCAGGUGUGAUGAUUGGGUGUUCAUGCUUUUGUGUGACCUGUGCCUCCUUCAAACCGUGUUAAGAACUCAGCAUAACACUCAGCACUCAUUCCUCAUCUGACA